Oryza sativa Japonica Group (Japanese rice) is the source of this 549-nucleotide non-coding RNA. The record is from RefSeq and is a predicted model, not a curated record. Lineage: Eukaryota; Viridiplantae; Streptophyta; Magnoliopsida; Poales; Poaceae.
GGGCUUGACGUUCAUAUUUCUAUCUACAGCUGUUUCAGGGUAUGGGAUAUUUGUGGGAAACAAAUCUACUGGCUGUCAGAGGAGUAGUGAUGUCGACAUUAGCUUCUUCAUCUUAGUUUCAAUCGAUGAGUGGGUACAAGACCACAAUUGGCUCCUUUCUUCAUCUUAGUUCUAAUCGAUGAGUGAGAGUGGGUACAAGACCACAAUUGGCUCCUUUCUUCAUCUUAGUUUGGGAGUGGGUACAAGACCACAAUUGGCUCCUUUCUUCAUCUUAGUUCCAAUCGAUGAGUGGGUACAAGACCACAAUUGGCUCCUUCAUCUUAGUUCAAUCUCAUCUUAAGUUCCAGUUGAUCAGUGUGUACAAGAUUAGACACGGAAACACACAUUUUCAAUUUAUACAGACACGAAAACAUACACCUUUUUCAAUCACUCCUUUCAAUUUAUACAGAAACACACAUUUUCAAUUUAUACAGACACGAAAACAUACACCUUUUUCAAUCACUCCUUUCAAUUUAUACAGAGACAAAAACAUACACCUUUUUCAAUUUA